GACGAACGCUGGCGGCGUGCUUAACACAUGCAAGUCGAACGGAAAGGCCCUGCUUUUGUGGGGUGCUCGAGUGGCGAACGGGUGAGUAACACGUGAGUAACCUGCCCUUGACUUUGGGAUAACUUCAGGAAACUGGGGCUAAUACCGGAUAGGAGCUCCUGCUGCAUGGUGGGGGUUGGAAAGUUUCGGCGGUUGGGGAUGGACUCGCGGCUUAUCAGCUUGUUGGUGGGGUAGUGGCUUACCAAGGUUUUGACGGGUAGCCGGCCUGAGAGGGUGACCGGCCACAAUGGGACUGAGAUACGGCCCAGACUCCUACGGGAGGCAGCAGUGGGGAAUAUUGCACAAUGGGCGGAAGCCUGAUGCAGCAACGCCGCGUGCGGGAUGACGGCCUUCGGGUUGUAAACCGCUUUCGCAUGUGACGAAGCGUGAGUGACGGUAAUGGGUAAAGAAGCACCGGCUAACUACGUG
RNAcentral lists this ribosomal RNA (468 nucleotides) under uncultured bacterium. RNAcentral's name for it is "partial 16S ribosomal RNA". It matches the Rfam family "Bacterial small subunit ribosomal RNA", at positions 28 to 507 of the family's 1533-position model. The record is from RNAcentral.